CCGGUAAACGGCGGCCGUAACUAUAACGGUCCUAAGGUAGCGAAAUUCCUUGUCGGGUAAGUUCCGACCUGCACGAAUGGCGUAAUGAUGGCCAGGCUGUCUCCACCCGAGACUCAGUGAAAUUGAACUCGCUGUGAAGAUGCAGUGUACCCGCGGCAAGACGGAAAGACCCCGUGAACCUUUACUAUAGCUUGACACUGAACAUUGAGCCUUGAUGUGUAGGAUAGGUGGGAGGCUUAGAAGUGUGGACGCCAGUCUGCAUGGAGCCGACCUUGAAAUACCACCCUUUAAUGUUUGAUGUUCUAACGUUGACCCGUAAUCCGGGUUGCGGACAGUGUCUGGUGGGUAGUUUGACUGGGGCGGUCUCCUCCUAAAGAGUAACGGAGGAGCACGAAGGUUGGCUAAUCCUGGUCGGACAUCAGGAGGUUAGUGCAAUGGCAUAAGCCAGCUUGACUGCGAGCGUGACGGCGCGAGCAGGUGCGAAAGCAGGUCAUAGUGAUCCGGUGGUUCUGAAUGGAAGGGCCAUCGCUCAACGGAUAAAAGGUACUCCGGGGAUAACAGGCUGAUACCGCCCAAGAGUUCAUAUCGACGGCGGUGUUUGGCACCUCGAUGUCGGCUCAUCACAUCCUGGGGCUGAAGUAGGUCCCAAGGGUAUGGCUGUUCGCCAUUUAAAGUGGUACGCGAGCUGGGUUUAGAACGUCGUGAGACAGUUCGGUCCCUAUCUGCCGUGGGCGCUGGAGAACUGAGGGGGGCUGCUCCUAGUACGAGAGGACCGGAGUGGACGCAUCACUGGUGUUCGGGUUGUCAUGCCAAUGGCACUGCCCGGUAGCUAAAUGCGGAAGAGAUAAGUGCUGAAAGCAUCUAAGCACGAAACUUGCCCCGAGAUGAGUUCUCCCUGACUCCUUGAGAGUCCUGAAGGAACGUUGAAGACGACGACGUUGAUAGGCCGGGUGUGUAAGCGCAGCGAUGCGUUGAGCU
Molecule: ribosomal RNA, 978 nt
Filed under: Escherichia coli
Lineage: Bacteria; Pseudomonadati; Pseudomonadota; Gammaproteobacteria; Enterobacterales; Enterobacteriaceae
Description: partial 23S ribosomal RNA
Rfam family: Bacterial large subunit ribosomal RNA
Source: RNAcentral